UUGAGACCUAACACCUGUGUCUGAACCAACCUGUCCAGGUGUACUUAUUCAUCAGAUAGCAUGCGUUUUGGGCAAGUUCCUCUUAACGGCCCUUUUAAGUAUCUGAAAGGCAGAGCAGGUAUUUUUUCCAGACUAUGUUAAUUAGUGAACUAUUCUUAAAAGAAAUUUUAACAAACUGGUUGGUCACUGCCAAGCUCUUGUCUUAGAAUCUGUUCCCUACAAGCCAAGCCUGAGACAGUUUUGGAGGCCUUUUCAUUUUCCUUCAUAAUAUACGGAUGAAAAAAUUUUUAGAAAGAGCUGCCAAUUUUAAAAAUUUGGUCUUCUGACAUGUGGAUCUGACCUCAACUAUAAAGUUAUCUUUUGGAACAAAACUGGCCGUCUGGACACGUAAGGGAGCUGAAGAAUGCAAUAGAAUCUUCCCAGCUGUGAAGAGGUUACCUCAGUGCCUAAAACAAAUAUGCAUUCUUACGGAUGGGUGGCAAAACUCCAGGUGUCUUUAAUUGCAACAUCAAUUUCUACCACUGAGGUGGAGAAAACUGAGUUUAAAUGUGUUUCUCUUAUGAAGUCAGGACAAGAUAAUAUUCUAGGGAAAGCCCAGAAGAAAACAUCU
Molecule: long non-coding RNA, 610 nt
Filed under: Equus asinus (donkey)
Lineage: Eukaryota; Metazoa; Chordata; Mammalia; Perissodactyla; Equidae
Description: lncRNA (ENSEASG00005030064.1)
Source: RNAcentral